GUCCAUGCUAGCUAAGAUGCAGAAGCAGCCAGAUGUUUCCAGGGGUUUUCUAUAGGAGAUCUAACUACUGAGAUAGUGAAGCUGAUAACAGAAAUGUAGCAGCUACAAGGACAGUAGGGCUGAUUUUGCUGGGUUGGAGAAGCUGUAUUUGUGAAACUCUGUACUUGGAGAUCCCUUGUAUGAUGGGCUCAUGGGACAUCCUCCCUGCCAAUGCCAUCACUCUCUCCCCAGCUGAUAUUUGCUCUUUGCAGGGAAAUGGCUUCAGAGAUGAAGAGGGGAAAGAGACUGAAAGAGCAGAUAAAAGGAAAAGUACUCAAACAGUGCUGUGUUGUUUCAAGAGCGGAGAUCAGGAGCCUUGGGAAGUAUCACUCAUCUCAACUCUGAAGUCCCAACGGCCAUAACUGCCACCAAUCUCUCAUACCACCGGGACUUGGGCAUGUGAUCCAGGCUUGGCCAAUCUAAUGGGCCACUCUAGACUUGCAACAUGGCACUAGGGCUACAAAGAAGCUAUUCUGAAGCUUUUAUCUGACUAUGGACGCAUCCAGUGUGUGCCACAUCCAGGGUAGUGGCAAGGGUCUCACUGGGGCGGACUGUGCUGUUAGAAGCUACUUAGCCUCACUUAUUCUUACUUAGCCUCACUGUAUUCUCC
RNAcentral lists this long non-coding RNA (649 nucleotides) under Chinchilla lanigera (long-tailed chinchilla). RNAcentral's name for it is "lncRNA (ENSCLAG00000027442.1)". Lineage: Eukaryota; Metazoa; Chordata; Mammalia; Rodentia; Chinchillidae. The record is from RNAcentral.